GAUUAAAUGGCUGAAAUUUAGGCGAUAGAUUGUAAAUUUAUUUAUGAGAAAUUUUCUCUUUAAUCA
RNAcentral lists this transfer RNA (66 nucleotides) under Anthomyza sp. DY-2021. RNAcentral's name for it is "tRNA-Tyr". It matches the Rfam family "tRNA". Rfam says of the family: Transfer RNA (tRNA) molecules are approximately 80 nucleotides in length. Lineage: Eukaryota; Metazoa; Arthropoda; Insecta; Diptera; Anthomyzidae. The record is from RNAcentral.